This 236-nucleotide ribosomal RNA is filed under the name uncultured bacterium. RNAcentral's name for it is "partial 16S ribosomal RNA". It matches the Rfam family "Bacterial small subunit ribosomal RNA", at positions 99 to 334 of the family's 1533-position model. The record is from RNAcentral.
CAGACGGGUGAGUAACGCGUGGUCAACCUACCGUUGAGUGGGGGAUAACUAGCCGAAAGGUUAGCUAAUACCGCAUACGAGUCUUGGGGGCAUCCCCGGGCCUUAAAAGGAGCAAUCCGCUCGAUGACGGGACCGCGUCCCAUUAGCUAGAUGGUGGGGUAAUGGCCUACCAUGGCUCCGAUGGGUAGCUGGUUUGAGAGAGCGACCAGCCACACUGGGACUGAGAAACGGCCCAG